GACGAACGCUGGCGGCGUGCUUAUCACAUGCAAGUCGAACGGAAAGGCCCUGCUUUUGUGGGGUGCUCGAGUGGCGAAAGGGUGAGUAACACGUGAGUAACCUUCCCUUGACUUUGGGAUAACUUCAGGAAACUGGGGGUAAUACCGGAUAGGAGUUCCUGCUGCAUGGUGUGGGUUGGAAAGUUUCGGCGGUUGGGGAUGGACUCGCGCCUUAUCAGCUUGUUGGUGGGGUAGUGGCUUACCAAGGCUUUGACGGGUAGCCGGCCUGAGAGGGUGACCGGCCACAUUGGGACUGAGAUGCGGCCCAGACUCCUACGGGAGGCAGCAGUGGGGAAUAUUGCACAAUGGGCGGAAGCCUGAUGCAGCAGCGCCGCGUGCGGGAUGACGGCCUUCGGGUUGUAAACCGCUUUCGCCUGUGACGAAGCGUGAGUGACGGUAAUGGGUAAAGAAGCACCGGCUAACUACGUG
This 468-nucleotide ribosomal RNA is filed under the name uncultured bacterium. RNAcentral's name for it is "partial 16S ribosomal RNA". It matches the Rfam family "Bacterial small subunit ribosomal RNA", at positions 28 to 507 of the family's 1533-position model. The record is from RNAcentral.